RNAcentral lists this ribosomal RNA (533 nucleotides) under Ozirhincus longicollis. RNAcentral's name for it is "partial 16S ribosomal RNA". Lineage: Eukaryota; Metazoa; Arthropoda; Insecta; Diptera; Cecidomyiidae. The record is from RNAcentral.
GGUUUUUAUAUUUUAUUAAAAAUUUAACCUGCCAAUUGAAUUAAAUUUAAAAGGCCGCAGUAUUUUGACUGUGCUAAGGUAGCAUAAUCAUUAGAUUUAUAAUUGAAAUCUAGAAUGAAUGGUUUAAUGAAACAAAAUCUUUUUUAAUUUAAAUAAUUGAAUUUUUUUUUUUAGUUAAAAAACUAAAAUAUUUUUAUGGGACGAGAAGACCCUAUAGAAUUUUAUAUUUAUUAAAUUAAAUAAUAAUUUAUAAAUUAAUUAUAGUAUUUUACAAUAUUUUAUUGGGGCGAUAAAUAAAUUUAGUUAACUUUAAAUUUUUUAUCAAUAAUUUUUGUUAAAUUGAUCUUUUUUUAUUGAUUAAAAGUUUAAAUUACCUUAGGGAUAACAGCAUAAUUUUAUUAAGAAGUUCUUAUUUUUAAUAUUGUUUAUGACCUCGAUGUUGAAUUAAAUAAAAUUAUUAUAUGAAGAUAUAUAAAAAAUAAGUCUGUUCGACUUUUAAUUAUUUACAUGAUUUGAGUUCAAACCGGUGUAAG